This 398-nucleotide ribosomal RNA is filed under the name uncultured bacterium. RNAcentral describes it as "bacterial SSU rRNA". It matches the Rfam family "Bacterial small subunit ribosomal RNA", at positions 28 to 431 of the family's 1533-position model. The record is from RNAcentral.
GACGAACGCUGGCGGCGUGCUUAACACAUGCAAGUCGAGCGGUAAGGCCCUUUCGGGGGUACACGAGCGGCGAACGGGUGAGUAACACGUGGGUGACCUGCCCUCAGCUCUGGGAUAAGCCUGGGAAACCGGGUCUAAUACUGGAUAUGACUCCAUGACGCAUGUUGUGGGGUGGAAAGCCUUGUGCGGCUGAGGAUGGGCCCGCGGCCUAUCAGCUUGUUGGUGGGGUGAUGGCCUACCAAGGCGACGACGGGUAGCCGGCCUGAGAGGGCGACCGGCCACACUGGGACUGAGACACGGCCCAGACUCCUACGGGAGGCAGCAGUGGGGAAUCUUGCGCAAUGGGCGAAAGCCUGACGCAGCGACGCCGCGUGAGGGAUGACGGCCUGGUGUAACUA